Molecule: ribosomal RNA, 605 nt
Filed under: uncultured Gammaproteobacteria bacterium
Lineage: Bacteria; Pseudomonadati; Pseudomonadota; Gammaproteobacteria
Description: bacterial SSU rRNA
Rfam family: Bacterial small subunit ribosomal RNA
Source: RNAcentral
AACGGUAACAGGAUAGCUUGCUAUCGCUGACGAGUGGCGGACGGGUGAGUAAUACUUAGGGAUCUGCCUCUGUGUGGGGGAUAACUAUUGGAAACGAUAGCUAAUACCGCAUAAUGUCUACGGACCAAAGCGGGCUUCGGCUCGUGCGCAGAGAGGAACCUAAGCGAGAUUAGCUAGUUGGUGAGGUAAAGGCUCACCAAGGCGACGAUCUCUAGCUGUUCUGAGAGGAAGAUCAGCCACACUGGAACUGAGACACGGUCCAGACUCCUACGGGAGGCAGCAGUGGGGAAUAUUGCACAAUGGGGGAAACCCUGAUGCAGCCAUGCCGCGUGUGUGAAGAAGGCCUUCGGGUUGUAAAGCACUUUCAGUUGUGAGGAAAGUUUAGUAGUUAAUACCUGCUAGAUGUGACGUUAGCAACAGAAGAAGCACCGGCUAACUCCGUGCCAGCAGCCGCGGUAAUACGCGAGGGUGCGAGCGUUAAUCGGAAUUACUGGUGCGUAAAGCGCACGCAGGCGGUCUGUUAAGCUAGAUGUGAAAGCCCCGCGCUCAACGUGGGAGGGUCAUUUAGAACUGGCAGACUAGAGUCUUGGAGAGGGGAGUGGAAU